RNAcentral lists this ribosomal RNA (478 nucleotides) under uncultured bacterium. Its description in RNAcentral is "partial 16S ribosomal RNA". It matches the Rfam family "Bacterial small subunit ribosomal RNA", at positions 28 to 506 of the family's 1533-position model. The record is from RNAcentral.
GACGAACGCUGGCGGCGUGCUUAACACAUGCAAGUCGAACGAAGCGUGAUUACGGAUUCUUCGGCUGAAGGAUGAUAUGACUGAAUGGCGGACGGGACAGACACGCGUGAGUAAGCUGCCCUCCAGAGGGGGAUAGCAAUAGGGGACGAACGGUAAUACCGCAUAAUGGAGGUUGAACGGAUGCGCGAGAUACGGAAGAACUAUCGCCGUAGGAUGGAGUCGCGGCUGUUUAGGGAGUUGGUGGGGUAACGGCCUACCAAGCCGACGAUCAGUAGCCGGGAGGGGAGGUGGACCGGCCAGGUUUGGAAUGCGACACAGCCCACACUGCUACGGGAGGCUGCAGUGGGGAAUAUUGCGCAAUGGGCGCAAGCCUGAUGCAGCAGCGCCGCGUAAAGGAGCACGGUUUUCGGAUUGUAAACUUCUGUUCUUAGUGAAGAAUAAGGACGGUAGCUAAGGAGCAGGCCACGGCUAACUACGU